RNAcentral lists this ribosomal RNA (498 nucleotides) under uncultured bacterium. RNAcentral describes it as "partial 16S ribosomal RNA". It matches the Rfam family "Bacterial small subunit ribosomal RNA", at positions 30 to 523 of the family's 1533-position model. The record is from RNAcentral.
AUUGAACGCUGGCGGCAUGCCUUACACAUGCAAGUCGAACGGUAACAGGUCUUCGGAUGCUGACGAGUGGCGAACGGGUGAGUAAUACAUCGGAACGUGCCCGAUCGUGGGGGAUAACGAAGCGAAAGCUUUGCUAAUACCGCAUAAGAUCUACGGAUGAAAGCAGGGGACCGCAAGGCCUUGCGCGAACGGAGCGGCCGAUGGCAGAUUAGGUAGUUGGUGGGAUAAAAGCUUACCAAGCCGAUGAUUUGUAGCUGGUCUGAGAGGACGACCAGCAACACUGGGACGGAGACACGGCCCAGACUCCUACGGGAGGCAGCAGUGGGGAAUUUUGGACAAUGGGCGAAAGCCUGAUCCAGCCAUGCCGCGUGCAGGAUGAAGGCCUUCGGGUUGUAAACUGCUUUUGUACGGAACGAAAAGACUCUUUCUAAUAAAGAGGGUCCAUGACGGUACCGUAAGAAUAAGCACCGGCUAACUACGUGCCAGCAGCCGCCGUAA